Molecule: long non-coding RNA, 7177 nt
Filed under: Lynx pardinus (Iberian lynx)
Lineage: Eukaryota; Metazoa; Chordata; Mammalia; Carnivora; Felidae
Source: RNAcentral
AACUUCAGCAAAAGCCAAGGCAGCCAACAAAGCCACAGCCACCUUGGCUGUGCUUGGACUCUGCCUUUUGGGCAGCUCACCAGCCACUCCCCAGAAGCAGAGCAUUCUGUCCUUUCUUUUUAAAUCCACGUCAUCAUUUGAUCAUAAUGGAAAUCAAUCUCCUCAAGUCACCACGCAAAGGCGUAUCCAUAGCAACCACAAGAGGAAGGACACAGAAAUGAUGCUCCAGUGGCUGCAGCAGAAAAAGGUAAGCCUGUUUCUCUUCCAUUCAUGCUAUCCCACCAUUCUCCCCCUUCACUCAAGCGCAUCUUACCUGCAAAUUCUAUCACACUAAAGGGGAUAACAUAAAAGGCGAGUGUUAAUAAUCUAUGCUAUUAUGUAAGGUUAUAUAGGUCUGUAUACUCCCAUAUGUGGCAGAAAAAAAAUUCUCUUUUUCUGGUUGAUGGAGACAAUUCUCUUUUACAUAUUCACUGUCUCAGGUGACAGAAUCUCUGCCUGCAAUACCUGUCAAAUCACUAUCAGUUACUUGUCUUUCUAGUCAGGAUGCUACUCUCAUUCAAGGAUUUCAGAGUUUCCUACCUAUUUGUAAAAGGCCAGUGGCAACACCGACCCCACUUCCCUGCCCACCCAUGCCACAGUCGUGCUCACACACUGGCCAGGUAAGACUUGCUCUUAGCAGCCCGAGACUCUAGCCCCUCUAGGUCCAGAAAACUGGGGGCUGGGAUUAAAUUUCUGCCUUCUCUGGUGCCUAAGAGGAAGGAAUGCCAUUUCAGCAGAGGUAAGAGACUCAUCAAAUAUAAACACUACUAAGCCUAAGUAAUCCUCCAUGCCUUGAUUUCCCCUCGUGUAAAAUAGAGACAACAAUACCUUUCUAACAAAGUUGUGAAAAUUACACGAGGAUGCCUUUAAAGCAUUUAGAAGAGCACCUGGUAUGGAGCAUCAAUAAACAUCAGUCAUUAUUAUUAUUAUUAUUAUGAGAAAGAGGAAGGAGAGGCCUACAAUGCAAGAUUCAAGUUCAGAUUCUCUUGAAGAGAAUAUCAGGUCUACUCUCUUUCCCUGCCUCUGGACAGUUAUUUCAAGCUUCCCUUACUAAUUUCAAGUCCUAUUCCUAUUUGAGCCCACACCAGCACCCACUCUCCUCAGCAGAUAAUUCUGCUGAAAAAGAAAACUGAACCUGUUAGAUAAGAAUUCCUUUGCAAAUUUAGAUACAUCUGCAACCAUCAUUGCCUCUUUCUUCCUACAUUCUUUCUUCUGUCGUUCCUCUUUCAAAGAAAAUGAUGUCCCAUUCUUUUCAGAGCCAACCCUUCCACCCUCCUCUGAGGACCUGAUUUAGCAAUCAUAUUUUUUUCUCCUACCUUCAACUGCACCCUAUCUACUAGCUCUUAUACAGGAUCAGGUAACCUAUGUUCAAGACUCUUCUAGGAAAAACUGUCUCUAGUCACCGCUACCUCUUCCACGAGAUGCCACCAUCUCUCUCCCUUCCUUCCCUGCCAAACUACUCAAAGUGAGUACACCCUUCCUGUCCUCCCUUCCCAUCCACUCCUCAAUCUGGCUCAACUUGGCUCCUGUCCCUACCACUUCUCGGAAGCUGCUCACACUCCAAAAGUAGAAGAGCCUUGGUGAUCCAACAAUCCAGUCUCAAGGCACAUUUUCCAAGCUCGUCUUAACCUGACUUGCCUGUAGCAACUGAAGCUGCUGAUCUUCCUGGAACAUUUUCCUCUCCAAGCUCCCUGGACAACAUUGUCUUACCUUGCACACCAAUCCUUCUUGACUCCUGCGUCAUCUUCAGCCUCCUAUAAGCAUAGCCAGGCUCAUCCAUUCCCGCAGCAUCAACUCCCACUUACACCUACUGCCUCAGGCACAGAUUCUCUUCAGAACCUCAGACCCACACUUCCACCUGUUUGCUAAGUGCCACAGACCCAAGUUCAACAUAACUUAAAACACAGUUGGUAACUUCCCCCUCAAAAAAUAUUCUUUUUCUAUAUUCCCUUUUAAAAAAAAAAAAAAAAAGAUUUUCUUUCAUUUUUUUUUUUGAGAGACAGAGAGAGAGAGAGAGAGAGAGAAUAUGAAUGAGCAGGGACAGAGGCAGACUCUUAAGCAGGCUCCAUGCCCAGUGCAGAGCCUGAGGCAGGACUCAACACAGGGCUCUUGACUCAGGGCUCGAUCGUGAGAUCAUGACUUGAGCCAAAAUCAAGAGUCAGAUGCUUAACUGACUGAGCCACCCAGGCACCCCUAUAUUCCCUCUUUACUACUGGCACCACCACUCACCCAAAACAGAAGACCAAGUCAUCCUUAACAACUCCCUCUUUUGUUCUCAACAACCAGUUAAUCGUUAUGUUAGGUUGACUGUCUCCACGGUUUCUCUCAGAUCCAUCCCCUUACCAUCCCCACUAACCUAAUCCUUACUUCAGUCUUAAGCCAUGCCUAUGUUAUUACAAGAGUCUCCUAUUAAUGUCCCUGAUCCAGAUUCUCCCCUUUCGGUCUACUUCCUCAGUUAGCUUCCCAAAAUAGAAUCACAUCAUCUCCCUGCCCACAAAACUGAAUCUUCUGAGCACAGCACUAUAGACCAUUAAAAACCUGGCCUCAUUACAUCUAGUCUCAUCAAUAACCUCUCCUUUGAUCCCAAAGUUCGUAUAUUCCAGCUACAUGGAUCUACUUACCUUCCCCCCUUUGCCUCUAUAAAUGCUGCAAAUGUCACCAAGGCCAUUCUCUUUUCUCAUCAUUAAGGCUCAGCUCUAUUAUCAUCUCUUUCCUGAAGACUCCCAAUGUCUCCAUGUAGAGCUAGCCAUUCCCCCCUGUGCCCUCACACAGCACUUUGGACAGAUCUCUAUUACAACACCACGUUUUUAUCAAAAUAUUGUCUCUCUUAUCCCAUCAUGAAUUCCUCCAGGGAAGGGAGUUUUUAUUAAUCUCAGUAUCCUAAGCACUGAGCACAGAAGACAUUUAAUGUUAAAUACAAGCCUGUACCAACACCAGGCUCUAGGGAUAUAAGCUGGCUCUGUCAACUUUCCCAGAGUAGCUUACCCUAAAAAGACCCCCACCAUGGAGGAAAUUAACAGUCAUGCACACACGAACCCCAGCAGAUGUACUCUUUCCUCUCCAGAUAGGAGCCUAAGAAACUAAAAAUGUAGGGACAGCCCCAGGUCCUAUGGAAUUUGGCAAUGACACUAAUUCUCAAUCUCACAUGCUUCCACAGUAGGAGGACCACGGAGAGACCUCUAGGCUCUGGCGCAAGUGCAAAUCUGGGAAAACAGCUUGAGUGAGGCUCUGCGGGUGACAAAGGUCUAGUAUUUGCUUAAGAGAAACCCUCAGGGGAUAUGUAGGAGCUUCAAGAGGUCAGAAUGGACACUCAAUUUGGCCAUCAGCCAAGUGCUACUGGUACUAGCCUGAACUUCAAAAAAAAAAAAAAAAAAAUGAUAUAAAGCCAAAUCCAGAGUCUCCAGGAUGGCAAGGACCCUAAGGUAGAUUUCAAUCAGUCAACUGCUCAGCACUUACCUCCUCAGGGAUGUGGAUCCAGUUCUCAUUUCCCUUGGUAUGGGACAGACACCCAAGUCCCCACAGUACCACCAGUAGCUGUAGACAGGCCAAGCAACCUGGGAAUCCUCUACUACAAUCCCUCUCAACCCAUAACUCCAGGCAGCCACUAGCAAUGACAGAGAAGGUAGAGUAAAACAUAGAGUGGCAGUUGUCAACGGUAGUAGGAGUCUCCUGAGUCUUGAAUUCUCUGUAACAACUUCUUCUCCUUUGUAUCCUCAUGUCAGUCAGGCCCAACUUAACCAAUUCUUCCUUAGUAUUGCCUCCUGCAUCCUUCUUUUCUCCUCCAUUACCACUGUCACCACUUUGGUCACCAUUUAAUAGCUUUGAGAAUUAAGGCAAGGCAUUUUCCCCCUUUGGCGCCUCAUCUGUAAAGCAGGAUAACAGCUGCUCUGCCCACCUCACAGGACUAUUAAAUAAAAUGGGAUCAUGCCGGUGGAAGGUUCUGUAAUCUGUAAAAUCUUAUACACAAAUAUAAGGCAUUCCUCUAUCAUCAACAUAAAUCCUCUACUACUAGGAUGUGAAGUAUAUUUGGCUCCCUGCCUCUCUCCUUCUCCAUUUCCAACCACAUCAUAUAUCACAGUAACACGAUGAUGCACUCUAAAAUAUUUUGUCCACAUACUCACCUGCCCCAAAUCUUUCACUGACAUACCAUUUCUUACUUAACCAAACAAUCCUGGCUCUGACAUAUGCAGCGUCAUCUCUGCACCACUGGCAGCUGCUUAGGAUGCUUUCCCUAGUCUUGCAAGCCCCACCCAGCCUUCAAAGGCUAGCCAAAACCUCACUAGACUCCACGCAGAAAGACUAAAUUUAAAAGAGGGAUUUGAGGGGCAUCUGGGUGGCUCAGUCGGUUGAGCGUCCGACUUUGGCUCAGGUCAUGAUCUUGCAGUUUGUGAGCUCGAGCCCCGCAUCGGGCUCUGUGCUACCAAACAGCUCAGAGCCUGGAGCCUGCUUUGGAUUCUGGGUCUCCCUUUCUCUCUCUCCCCCUCCCCUACUCAUGCUCUGUCUCUCUCUGUCUCUCAAAAAUAAAUAAAUGUUAAAAAAAAAUAAUAAAAGAGGGAUUUGAAACAAUGACAUGGAAGAAUUAAGGAUAAUUCAGCAGAGAAAAUUUGGGAGGACAACCAUCAUCUAAUACUUUAAGAGUAACCUUUUUUUUUUUUUUUUUUUUCAACGUUUAUUUAUUUUUGGGACAGAGAGAGAGACAGAGCAUGAACGGGGGAGGGGCAGAGAGAGAGGGAGACACAGAAUCGGAAACAGGCUCCAGGCUCUGAGCCAUCAGCCCAGAGCCCGACGCGGGGCUCGAACUCACGGACCGCGAGAUCGUGACCUGGCUGAAGUCGGACGCUUAACCGACUGCGCCACCCAGGCGCCCCAAGAGUAACCUUUUUAAAGGGGGACUGUACACUUUUUUUCGGUUCAGUUCAAAAAAAUAACCUAGUACCAACAGGAUGGAAGUUGCAGAGAUGUAUUUCAGUAAGUUGAAAAAGUUCCUUAUUAAGCUAUCUCAGGAUGAAAUGUAGUAAAUUCCCCAUUAUUAGAAAAUGUUCAAGUCCAAACUGGCCAUUUGGGAAGGAUAUUUUAGAUGGACUUCAACUAUCACAAAGGUUACUGAACUUGAAUCACAAGCAUUUUAGAUCUGAAAGGAACCUUACUGCUCUUCUAGUCCAGCCUCCUAUUUUACAGACCUGGACAGGUGAAGGGGCUCAUUCAAGGCAGCAAAGUUUAUGUUACAAAGCAGGAAGCAGAACAUGGUCUCUAAAUUUCAAUCCAGUGAUCAACACCCUUGCUAUUGAAAGUGUGGUCCAUAGAGCAGCAGCAGCAGCAUCACCUGGGAACUUGUUAGAAAUGCAGAAACAGGGGCACCUGGGUGGCUCAGUCGGUUAAGUGUGGGACCUUCAAUCAUGACUCAGGUCAUGAUCUCAUGGUUCAGUCUGUGAGAUCCAGCCCCAAGUCAGGCUCUGUGCUGACAGUGUGGAGCCUGCUCGAGAUUCUCUCUCCCUCUCUCCUUGCUCCUCCCCUGCUUGUGCGUGCUUAAUAAUAAUAAUAAUAAUAAUAAUAAUAACAACAACAAUAAUAAUGGAAAGAAAAGAAAGAAAUGGAGAGCCCCCCAGAAUCUGUUUUUAACAAGACCUGCAAGUCUAUGAGCCAUUAAAGUUUGAAAAGCACUGACCUACACAGUCCCUUCCAAACCCUGAUUUUCUAAUUCUGGAACUGCACUUCCUAAACGAUCUCAGAUGUUAAACAGAGUCAGCACCCAAGAAAAACAGCAUUUCCCAUUCAAAUCUGGGAAAGUCUCCAUACCAUACUUUCAGUGAUCUUGUUAGCACACCGAAGGCUCUGAAAUAUUCCAGAGAAAACUGUAACCAUGAAGUUUCAAAACAUAUUUGAGCACAUAAUGCCUUAAAAGAAAAACGUUAUAGUAAUUUCCUUUAAUAUCCCAGUGGCUGAGGCUUUGGCAGUACACCGGGUAAAGAAUGUCUAUCUUGACCUCAUCGCUCUUUGACUCUCAGUACCUUAAGCAUACUGGAUUAGUAAGUGGUCAACAUGGGCUUGCUGUUCUCAUCACUGCAAUACACGAGGGGAAGCUUCUAAAUCAUGGCCUCUUUAAAAACGGCGGAGUUCCUGUGUGUGUGAUUUACCUGUAGUUCUGCCUAAAGACAAGAGGAAUGUGCAAGAUGACUUCUCAAGAGUCAUGCAGCCAGUUAAGGCGGACCCCAGCAGUGGGAGGCACAGACACAACCAACCCAUAUCCACGCCCCCACGUUUCAGUCCUCUACGGUUUUUUUGUUUUUCUUUUGACACAAACUUCUCAACCAUGUGCCCACAAGGAAACCUGUAGCUCGGAAUGGGCUCAGGGGUGCCUCAGACACUCCCAGGAAAGGAGGGGGGCCCUCGCCGUUGCGGAGGAAUUAGGAGGCGCCACCACUCCGACCCCGGGAGAACACCACCAGACUGAAGAGUGCAGGUGGGUCGGACAGGCCCAGACUCGGGCAGGCGCCCACCCCGCCGCGGCCCAUCCCUACCGUCCCCGCUCCGCACACCGGGUUCCAUGCCGCGCCCCAGUCCAGCACCCGGCCCCCCGUCCACCGCCGGGAACCUAGCGAACACGCGGGGAGCUGCGGCGGAGACGGUUGGCAGGGUGGCCGCCUCCGUACCUGUCCUGUCAGGGGCUCCGCGCCCGGCUCCGGCCCCACCACCGGCGACCGACGCCCAAGUCCUUGCCGGGCGCGCCCCGCCCGCCGCGCCCGCGUGGGCUGCCCGACGCGCCGCCCGACCCCUCGAGGCCCGCCCCACACCCUCUCGCCCCAGAGGCCCAGAGUCGCUCGGGGUUCAGGGAACACGCUACUGAUCCCCGAAAACCAGCCAGGGUUAAAAACUGCGCGCUGAGCGCAGCCGAGGAGACCUCGGUCAGGCACAAAGCUGGACACCUGGAGCGAAAUAUGCGCGUGCGCACUGUGUCUGGGAAGCCAACGAGGACCACAGGAGAGAGGAGCCUCUAAGCCUGCGCCCUCUGCCGGCCGAGGGGAGACAGCGCACCGGGACUGGACGACUCCUUGCCCUAGGCAAAUGGCUCUCCAGGGGUCGUUCGCUAAGCUUUUGAGUGCUAAACUGCUAAUUAAAACAUUAGUGGCAAGCCAUAUCU